UACGGGGGGGGCAAGCGUUGUUCGGAAUUACUGGGCGUAAAGAGCGUGUAGGCGGCCAGACAGGUCCGUUGUGAAAACUCGAGGCUCAACCUCGAGAUGUCGAUGGAAACCGUCUGGCUAGAGUCCGGAAGAGGAGUGUGGAAUUCCUGGUGUAGCGGUGAAAUGCGCAGAUAUCAGGAAGAACACCUAUGGCGAAGGCAGCACUCUGGGACGGUACUGACGCUGAGACGCGAAAGCGUGGGGAGCGAACAGG
Molecule: ribosomal RNA, 253 nt
Filed under: uncultured bacterium
Lineage: Bacteria
Description: partial 16S ribosomal RNA
Rfam family: Bacterial small subunit ribosomal RNA
Source: RNAcentral